GACGAACGCUGGCGGCGUGCUUAACACAUGCAAGUCGAACGGAAAGGCCCUGCUUUUGUGGGGUGCUCGAGUGGCGAACGGGUGAGUAACACGUGAGUAACCUGCCCUUGACUUUGGGAGAACUUCAGGAAACUGGGGCUAAUACCGGAUAGGAGCUCCUGCUGCAUGGUGGGGGUUGGAAAGUUUCGGCGGUUGGGGAUGGAUUCGCGGCUUAUCAGCUUGUUGGUGGGGUAGUGGCUUACCAAGGCUUUGACGGGUAGCCGGCCUGAGAGGGUGAACGGCGACAUUGGGACUGAGAUACGGCCCAGAAUCCUACGGGAGGCAGUAGGGGGAAAUAUUGCACAAUGGGCGGAAGCCUGAUGCAGAAACGCCGCGUGCGGGAUGACGGCCUUCGGGUUGUAAACCGCUUUCGCCUGUGACGAAGCGUGAGUGACGGUAAUGGGUAAAGAAGCACCGGCUAACUACGUG
RNAcentral lists this ribosomal RNA (468 nucleotides) under uncultured bacterium. Its description in RNAcentral is "partial 16S ribosomal RNA". It matches the Rfam family "Bacterial small subunit ribosomal RNA", at positions 28 to 507 of the family's 1533-position model. The record is from RNAcentral.